UACGUAGGGUGCAAGCGUUGUCCGAAAUUAUUGGGCGUAAAGAGCUCGUAGGCGGUCUGUCGCGUCUGCUGUGAAAACUCAGGGCUUAACCCUGAGCUUGCAGUGGGUACGGGCAGACUAGAGUGCGGUAGGGGAGACUGGAAUUCCUGGUGUAGCGGUGAAAUGCGCAGAUAUCAGGAGGAACACCGGUGGCGAAGGCGGGUCUCUGGGCCGUAACUGACGCUGAGGAGCGAAAGCAUGGGGAGCGAACAGG
Molecule: ribosomal RNA, 253 nt
Filed under: uncultured bacterium
Lineage: Bacteria
Description: partial 16S ribosomal RNA
Rfam family: Bacterial small subunit ribosomal RNA
Source: RNAcentral